CCUACGGGGGGCUGCAGUGGGGGAUAUUGCACAAUGGGGGGAACCCUGAUGCAGCGACGCCGCGUGGGUGAAGAAGCGCCUCGGCGCGUAAAGCCCUGUCAGCAGGGAAGAAAAUGACGGUACCUGAAGAAGAAGCCCCGGCUAACUACGUGCCAGCAGCCGCGGUAAUACGUAGGGGGCAAGCGUUAUCCGGAUUUACUGGGUGUAAAGGGGGCGCAGGCGGGGGUGCAAGGCAGGUGUGAAAGCCCGGGGCCCAACCCCGGGAUUGCCAUUGGAACUGGGUGGUUGGAGUGCAGGAGGGGCAGGCGGAAUGCCUGGUGUAGCGGUGAAAUGCGUAGAUAUCAGGAGGAACACCGGUGGCGAAGGCGGCCUGCUGGACUGCAACUGACGUUGAGGCCCGAAAGCGUGGGGAGCAAACAGGAUUAGAUACCCUUGUAGUC
This 440-nucleotide ribosomal RNA is filed under the name uncultured bacterium. RNAcentral describes it as "partial 16S ribosomal RNA". It matches the Rfam family "Bacterial small subunit ribosomal RNA", at positions 338 to 795 of the family's 1533-position model. The record is from RNAcentral.